AGCAGAUGAUGACAUGCAGAAUUGGAGAGCGGCAGCUGUACUUAUUUCAUUCUACGUGUAACAAAUGAGGAUGCAGUUGAAUAAUGUAUCGAAGUCUAGGCAUGAUGCCUACAGGAAGAUGUGAAGCAGCUGGAGAGAAUCGGGGGAGAAAGCAUCCCUCAGAUUCUGAAGAUUUGAAAUCUGGGACAUAUCAUCGAACUACACCAUGAGGUCUAAAAGUUUGGGAUCACCAAAAUCCUCCAGAUGAAAACUGCUCACAAGCGUUCUCUGGCUUAGCACACUUUUUGGGAAGGAUGUCCUACUUUAUUUCUUCUAAAUGAAAUCUUUCUUUGCCUUGUUAAAACUAGUCUGUGCUGUAAGCAGAGAGACCAGGGAAGUGCUCCAAAGAGGAGGGAAUGAAUGUAUGUGACUGUGUAUCGAUGUGUCAGCCAGUUCAGAUGGAUGUGUACGUGUCUCAGUAUGCUU
Long non-coding RNA from Oenanthe melanoleuca, 465 nucleotides. RefSeq lists it as uncharacterized. The transcript is spliced from 3 exons. The record is from RefSeq and is a predicted model, not a curated record. NCBI's taxonomy places the organism in Eukaryota, Metazoa, Chordata, Aves, Passeriformes, Muscicapidae.